UACGGGGGGAGCAAGCGUUGUUCGGAUUUACUGGGCGUAAAGGGCGCGUAGGCGGCCACCGCAAGUCAAUUGUGAAAUCUCCGGGCUUAACUCGGAAAGGUCAACUGAUACUGCGGGGCUAGAGUGCGGAAGGGGCAACUGGAAUCCUCGGUGUAGCGGUGAAAUGCGUAGAUAUCGAGAGGAACACCUGAGGUGAAGACGGGUUGCUGGGCCGACACUGACGCUGAGUGCGCGAAAGCCAGGGGAGCAAACGGG
RNAcentral lists this ribosomal RNA (255 nucleotides) under uncultured bacterium. Its description in RNAcentral is "partial 16S ribosomal RNA". It matches the Rfam family "Bacterial small subunit ribosomal RNA", at positions 524 to 776 of the family's 1533-position model. The record is from RNAcentral.